CAGCAGCCGCGGUAAUACGAAGGGGGCUAGCGUUGUUCGGAAUUACUGGGCGUAAAGCGCACGUAGGCGGAUAUUUAAGUCAGGGGUGAAAUCCCGCAGCUCAACUGCGGAACUGCCUUUGAUACUGGGUAUCUUGAGUAUGGAAGAGGUUAGUGGAAUUGCGAGUGUAGAGGUGAAAUUCGUAGAUAUUCGCAGGAACACCAGUGGCGAAGGCGGCUAACUGGUCCAUAACUGACGCUGAGGUGCGAAAGCGUGGAGAGCAAACAGGAUUAGAGACCCGCGUAGUCCCUGUCUCUUAUAC
This 301-nucleotide ribosomal RNA is filed under the name uncultured bacterium. RNAcentral's name for it is "partial 16S ribosomal RNA". It matches the Rfam family "Bacterial small subunit ribosomal RNA", at positions 509 to 807 of the family's 1533-position model. The record is from RNAcentral.